CCCCUGGCCACACCUGGCAGUGGCAUCUCACAAAAGUUGAGGCAGCUGGAGCAGCUCCAGCUUCACACCAGACCAUUUCCACAGGAACCUUCCCCCAGUGUGAGAGCAGUGUUGAUGUAGACUAUAUGAAAAUCUCAGGAAGCUCCGAGGUGGGUGGAAGGAAAUCAGGUGAACGGACUGAAGCAGCGUGUGAUCGUGAAGUAAGAUGUCGGGGAGGUUGACCUUGUAUUUAUAUCCAGCAUCAUGCUACUAGCGUGCACUUUAGGUUCUUGCAAGAAGUGUAUUUGAUGCCAGGUGCCAAAUAACCUUUUGUCGUCUUGCUGAAUGAGGCACUGCUUUUGUUCUACAGUCAAAAAUUACAUCUAGAUCUUAUAAACAUUAAAAAAUAUAUCCAUCUUUUCUUCUCCCUUCACCUCUGACAUACACACUAUUUGGCAAGAACUUGCAGUACCCCUGAAUCUGUACAUUCUGCUCAAAGUGAGAAGAGAAAUACCUCUCAUUUUUUAAGAUUAUCUCUGGCCAAUUAAAGACUUUUGCUAAUUAAUAGAUUUUUCUGAUCUGCCCAGCACUUAGUUAUGUGGCAAGAGUGUAGAGCUGCGAGGGCUGUGUGAGACAAAAUGUGUUGGACCAUGGGAUAUAGAAGGCCCGAAAACAACCUGAAAUUUUACCUAUAAAUUGCUGCAUGCAUUAAAACCGCACUUAAGGCUCUGUGUGCCAGAUAUAUGU
RNAcentral lists this long non-coding RNA (726 nucleotides) under Numida meleagris (helmeted guineafowl). RNAcentral's name for it is "lncRNA (ENSNMEG00000018959.1)". Lineage: Eukaryota; Metazoa; Chordata; Aves; Galliformes; Numididae. The record is from RNAcentral.